UACGGAGGGUGCAAGCGUUGCUCGGAAUUACUGGGCGUAAGGCGUACGCAGGCUGUCCGUUAAGUCGGGUGUGAAAGCCCGGGGCUCAACCCCGGAAUUGCGCCCGAAACUGGCGGGCUUGAGUGCGGGAGAGGGAAGCGGAAUUCCUGGUGUAGAGGUGAAAUUCGUAGAUAUCAGGAGGAACACCGGUGGCGAAAGCGGCUUCCUGGCCCGACACUGACGCUCAUGUACGAAAGCGUGGGGAGCAAACAGG
RNAcentral lists this ribosomal RNA (253 nucleotides) under uncultured bacterium. RNAcentral describes it as "partial 16S ribosomal RNA". It matches the Rfam family "Bacterial small subunit ribosomal RNA", at positions 524 to 776 of the family's 1533-position model. The record is from RNAcentral.